This 670-nucleotide long non-coding RNA is filed under the name Prunus persica (peach). RNAcentral describes it as "long non-coding RNA (PPER_LNC008694)". The record is from RNAcentral. Lineage: Eukaryota; Viridiplantae; Streptophyta; Magnoliopsida; Rosales; Rosaceae.
AUCACUUUUAUUAACGAGUAAUCUUAAAUAGUAUCUAUAUCAUACAAUGAACAACAACAACAACAACAAAAAAAGCUCAUUCGAUCACACACUAAAGCCAGUAGAAAAUGGUCAUACAAUGUAGCAAAUUAAAUGGUUGUCUUCCUUAAUUAAAAUUGGAAAUUUGUAAUGAAGAUGAAAGUAGACCCCUAUAUAUAUAUACUGAACAAUGAUACAUAGUUUACGUGCGCAUGAUGUGAGUGGUGAUGUCAGAUUUGAGAGGAAAAUCUACUUUUUAUAUUAAAAUAAAAACUUUCUAGGGGUUUUGCUUUUGGUUAAAGUUGAAGAUAUCAAAGCAAAAAGAGACACAAAAAGCCACGCAGUCUCUGUCAUUAGCCCAUGACCUUAUCAUCCCACCAAAGAUUCCACAAACCCAUCAAAUACUUCAACAACACAAACUACUCCUUAUAAUGAUCUCCAUCUUUCUUCCAUAUCCCUUCAUUUCAACACCCAAAAACCCUAGAGUUUACUUACACUACAAUGGCUUUAGACACCCAUGGCCAGCAGCAGAAUCUGAUCAAGCCACCCCAUGUUGCCAUUGUCCCAACUCCAGGCAUAGGCCAUCUCACUCCCUCGUUGAGCUAGCUAAAUUACUCUCUUCAUCAUACUUUACCAUCACUUUCAUCAUCCC